UACGGAGGGUGCAAGCGUUGUUCGGAAUUACUGGGCGUAAAGCGCGUGUAGGCGGCCUUGCAAGUCAGACGUGAAAGCCCUCGGCUUAACCGGGGAAGUGCGUCUGAAACUGCUUGGCUUGAGUACGGGAGAGGGAGGCGGAAUUCCCAGUGUAGAGGUGAAAUUCGUAGAUAUUGGGAGGAACACCGGUGGCGAAAGCGGCCUCCUGGACCGAUACUGACGCUGAGACGCGAGAGCGUGGGGAGCAAACAGGAUUAGAUACCCUGGUAGUCCACGCUGUAAACGAUGGGCACUAGGUGUGGGGGGUAUCCACUCCUCCCGUGCCGAAGCUAACGCAUUAAGUGCCCCGCCUGGGGAGUACGGCCGCAAGGUUAAA
This 376-nucleotide ribosomal RNA is filed under the name uncultured bacterium. Its description in RNAcentral is "bacterial SSU rRNA". It matches the Rfam family "Bacterial small subunit ribosomal RNA", at positions 524 to 898 of the family's 1533-position model. The record is from RNAcentral.